RNAcentral lists this long non-coding RNA (1362 nucleotides) under Sparus aurata (gilthead seabream). RNAcentral's name for it is "lncRNA (ENSSAUG00010002864.1)". The record is from RNAcentral. Lineage: Eukaryota; Metazoa; Chordata; Actinopteri; Spariformes; Sparidae.
AUCAUCUUGAUGUCUUUUUGGACAGAGAUGCAGUGCUCAAGGUGGGAGGAAGACUGCGUCAUUCAGCCCUUCCUAGGUCAGUCAAACACCCGACAGUCAUCCCCAGACAGCAUCAUGUCACAAAACUGAUAAUUACACACUAUCACGAAAGAGUUAAACACCAGGGCAAAGGCUUCACCAUCAAUGAAAUACGGGCCAACGGCUACUGGAUCUCAGGUUUAAGUCAAGCAGUCACAUCCUACAUUCGGCAGUGUGUCGUAUGUCGGAAACUAAGAGGAAGUGUAGUAGGUCAGAAAAUGAGUGAUCUCCCCAUAGAACGGAUGGAAUCCUCUCCCCCAUUUACAUACUGUGGGAUGGAUUGUUUUGGCCCUCUUAUGACUAAACAAGGUCGAAAGGAACAAAAACGAUAUGGCCUGCUCUUCACGUGCUUCAGCUCUCGUGCUAUCCAUGUUGAAAUGGUUGAUGACCUGUCAACUGAUGCUUUCAUCAACGGUCUGCGUUGCUUUGUUGCACUGCGAGGCUCAGUGAGACAGAUUAAGUGUGAUCAAGGCACUAAUUUUGUAGGUGCCAAAAAUGAACUGAGUGCGGCCCUACAUGAAGUUGAUGCGGAGAGACUUGAAAACUUCCUUGCAGAAAAGCAAUGUGAUUUUGUGUUCAACACGCCUCGUGCAAGUCACGCAGGUGGAGUGUGGGAACGACAGAUCAGAACUGUAAAAAAUGUGCUCUACUCCACACUCUCACUCUCACCUGGAAGACUCAAUGAUGCCUCCUUAAGGACUUUAUUAUAUGAGGCUUCUGCAAUCGUAAACAGCCGUCCUCUCACAACAGAUAACCUGAACGAUCCAAACAGUUUGGAACCACUCACUCCUAAUCAUCUCGUCACCAUGAAGGCUGCCACUGCACUUCCUCCCCCAGGCAAGUUUGUAAGAGAGGACCUAUAUGGACGAAAAAGAUGGCGACAAGUGCAGUAUCUGGCAGAACAAUUUUGGAGCCGUUGGAGAAAGGAGUAUCUCCACAACAUCAUGCUCAGGCAAAGAUGGCAUAUGCCUAAAAGAAACAUUCAAGUAGGUGACAUUGUGAUGGACGCAGAGGGACAGCAACCAAGAUCUGCAUGGAGACUUGGACGAGUCUCAAAGACUGUGACAGACAAUGAUGGACUUGUAAGGAAAGUCGAGAUAUUUCUAGGAGACAGAAAUCUGAACAAAAGAGGUGAACGCUUGAGCAAAGUAUCUGUGGUAGAACGUCCAGUUCAUAAGUUAGUUCUGCUAGUAGAGGCCUCCUAAGUAAGCAUAUAAAGAGACAAAAACAUCUGUUGUGAUGAUGUGUUCAUUUUGUUGUAUACAAAGUAGCCUAAUUCAUGUG